This 500-nucleotide ribosomal RNA is filed under the name uncultured bacterium. RNAcentral's name for it is "partial 16S ribosomal RNA". It matches the Rfam family "Bacterial small subunit ribosomal RNA", at positions 30 to 523 of the family's 1533-position model. The record is from RNAcentral.
AUUGAACGCUGGCGGCAUGCCUUACACAUGCAAGUCGAACGGUAACGGGUCCUUCGGGAUGCCGACGAGUGGCGAACGGGUGAGUAAUAUAUCGGAACGUGCCCAGUAGUGGGGGAUAACUGCUCGAAAGAGCAGCUAAUACCGCAUACGACCUGAGGGUGAAAGGGGGGGAUGGCAAGAACUUCCGCUAUGGGAGCGGCCGAUGUCAGAUUAGCUAGUUGGUGGGGUAAAGGCCUACCAAGGCAACGAUCUGUAGUUGGUCUGAGAGGACGACCAGCCACACUGGGACUGAGACACGGCCCAGACUCCUACGGGAGGCAGCAGUGGGGAAUUUUGGACAAUGGGCGCAAGCCUGAUCCAGCAAUGCCGCGUGCAGGAAGAAGGCCUUCGGGUUGUAAACUGCUUUUGUCAGGGAAGAAAUCUUCUGGGCUAAUACCCCGGGAGGAUGACGGUACCUGAAGAAUAAGCACCGGCUAACUACGUGCCAGCAGCCGCCGUAA